RNAcentral lists this ribosomal RNA (323 nucleotides) under uncultured Pseudomonadota bacterium. Its description in RNAcentral is "bacterial SSU rRNA". It matches the Rfam family "Bacterial small subunit ribosomal RNA", at positions 30 to 351 of the family's 1533-position model. The record is from RNAcentral. Lineage: Bacteria; Pseudomonadati; Pseudomonadota.
AUUGAACGCUGGCGGUAUGCUUAACACAUGCAAGUCGAACGGCAGCACGGGUGCUUGCACCUGGUGGCGAGUGGCGAACGGGUGAGUAAUAUAUAGGAACAUGCCCAGUAAUGGGGGAUAACGACGAGAAAUCGUUGCUAAUACCGCAUACGCCCUGAGGGGGAAAGCGGGGGAUCUUCGGACCUCGCGUUACUGGAUUGGCCUAUAUCUGAUUAGCUAGUUGGUGAGGUAAAGGCUCACCAAGGCGACGAUCAGUAGCUGGUCUGAGAGGACGACCAGCCACACUGGGACUGAGACACGGCCCAGACUCCUACGGGUGGCAG